This 249-nucleotide long non-coding RNA is filed under the name Nicotiana benthamiana. RNAcentral's name for it is "long non-coding RNA (NBEN_LNC001248)". Lineage: Eukaryota; Viridiplantae; Streptophyta; Magnoliopsida; Solanales; Solanaceae. The record is from RNAcentral.
AGGGAGACACAAUCCAAUACACAAAUCAUCUAUGGAUAGCCCUGCCAAGCCUCACCCGGGGUGAGGAGUACGAAAAAAUCUAGGAGCCCCUAUCCUACAACCCUGAUACUAGACCUCCAUACUUUCCUAUCAAGAGCCAUGUCCUCGGGAACUCGCAUUCUAGCCAUAUCAUGCCUAAUCACCUCUCCCAAUACCUCUUAGGCCUCCCUCUGCCUCGUCGUACGCCGACCAUCGCCAACCGCUCACAAC